RNAcentral lists this ribosomal RNA (439 nucleotides) under uncultured bacterium. RNAcentral's name for it is "partial 16S ribosomal RNA". It matches the Rfam family "Bacterial small subunit ribosomal RNA", at positions 338 to 795 of the family's 1533-position model. The record is from RNAcentral.
CCUACGGUGAGCAGCAGUAGGGAAUUUUGCGCAAUGGGCGAAAGCCUGACGCAGCAACGCCGCGUGAUCGAGACGCCCGUCGGGGUGGAAGAACUGUCAGUGGGGACGAAACUUGACGGUACCCACAGAGGAAGCACAGGCGAACUCCGUGCCAGCAGCCGCGGUAAUACGGGGGGUGCAAGCGUCGUCCUGAAUCAUUGGGCGUAAUGAGUUCGUAUGCGGCACGUAAAGGCUGGUGUUAAAGGCAGAGGCUCAACUUCUGUACGGCACUGGAUACUUGCGAGCUAGAAUGCGGUAGAGGUAAAGGGAAUUCCUGGUGUAGCGGUGAAAUGCUUAGAUAUCAGGAGGAACAUCGGAGGCGUAAGCGCUUUACUGGGCCGUACUUGACGCUGAGGAACGAAAGCCAGGGUAGCAAAUGGGAUUAGAUACCCGGGUAGUC